This 479-nucleotide ribosomal RNA is filed under the name uncultured bacterium. RNAcentral describes it as "bacterial SSU rRNA". It matches the Rfam family "Bacterial small subunit ribosomal RNA", at positions 328 to 793 of the family's 1533-position model. The record is from RNAcentral.
UCAGUCGACUCCUACGGGGAGGCAGCAGUGGGGGAAUAGUUGCACAAUGGGCGCAAGCCUGAUGCAGCCAUGCCGCGUGUAUGAAGAAGGCCUUCGGGUUGUAAAGUACUUUCAGCAGUGAGGAAGGCGGAGUCGUUAAUAGCGGCCUCGUUUGACGUUAGCUGCAGAAGAAGCACCGGCUAACUCCGUGCCAGCAGCCGCGGUAAUACGGAGGGUGCGAGCGUUAAUCGGAAUUACUGGGCGUAAAGCGCAUGCAGGUGGUUUGUUAAGUCAGAUGUGAAAGCCCGGGGCUCAACCUCGGAAUUGCAUUUGUAAACUGGCAGACUAGAGUACUGUAGAGGGGGGUAGGAAUUUCAGGUGUAGUCGGUGAAAUGCGUAGAGAUCUGAAGGAAUACCGGUGGCGAAGGCGGCCCCCUGGACAGAUACUGACACUCAGAUGCGAAAGCGUGGGGAGCAAACAGGAUUAGAUACCCUGGUAG